Molecule: long non-coding RNA, 267 nt
Filed under: Homo sapiens (human)
Lineage: Eukaryota; Metazoa; Chordata; Mammalia; Primates; Hominidae
Description: non-protein coding lnc-ECI2-1:2
Source: RNAcentral
CCAGGGAGUUACAAAGCUUCAUAAGUUUCUCGGAAUGUGUAUUGGAGAAAAAAUAACAGAGUCUGGCUAAAGAGAUGAAGAGCUCAUGAGGGCGUGUCUCAAUUUAAACAAGAGUAGCAUUGGCAAUUGUUGUCCUUAGCAGCAGCCGACAAGGCGGAAUUGGAAUGGUGCUGCUCCUGACUACCUCUACUCCACGCUAGGCUUAGGGGCUGGAGUGACCCAAGCCCUCAGGGUAAGAAAAGUCCGAUUUAGAACCUAGGACCUGAC